UACGGAAGGCAGCAGUGGGGAAUAUUGCACAAUGGGCGCAAGCCUGAUGCAGCCAUGCCGCGUGUAUGAAGAAGGCCUUCGGGUUGUAAAGUACUUUCAGUCGUGAGGAAGGUGUUAAGGUUAAUAACCUUAGCAAUUGACGUUAGCGACAGAAGAAGCACCGGCUAACUCCGUGCCAGCAGCCGCGGUAAUACGGAGGGUGCGAGCGUUAAUCGGAAUUACUGGGCGUAAAGGGCACGCAGGCGGUUAAUUAAGUUGGAUGUGAAUCCCCGGGCUUAACCUGGGAAUGGCAUUCAAGACUGGUUAGCUAGAGUCUUGUAGAGGGGGUAGAAUUCCAUGUGUAGCGGUGAAAUGCGUAGAGAUGUGGAGGAAUACCGGUGGCGAAGGCGGCCCCUGGGACAAAGACUGACGCUCAUGUGCGAAAGCGUGGGGAGCGAAACAGGAUUUAGAUACC
RNAcentral lists this ribosomal RNA (454 nucleotides) under uncultured bacterium. RNAcentral's name for it is "bacterial SSU rRNA". It matches the Rfam family "Bacterial small subunit ribosomal RNA", at positions 340 to 786 of the family's 1533-position model. The record is from RNAcentral.